CAUCUUUCUCUUAUCGCUGGAGUUUUCGCUUGUUGAAAUUUUUAGUGUUUCUUCUCUUGCUGGUGUUUGAAAUCGUCGAGCGGAGGGUGGUUAUUUAUAGAGGGAUAUUGCGGGUGGAGAAAUGGGAGUUUCUGGAGAGAUGUAGAAACUCAAGGGACUUUCCAGAGGUUUCUGCUGGGUAUACGAGUGGGGUCUAGAAUGUUCAUAGAAGCCUUCACGAGGAGCCCAAAAAGUAAUUGCCAAGACUUACUAUUUGAAGUCCCACUCUCUCUCUCUCUGUCUCUCUCUCUGUUCCUCAACAGAAGAAAAGUCAAGUCAUUCCCUUGGCAAGGAUUCCUUCCUCAAGGAGAGAGAGAGAAGAAAAGAAAAAAAAUAAAAAAGCAAGGAUUUAGCAUCCCAUGGAAUACUACAGCGUAAUAAUAUCUUUUUUCUUUAUAAUAAAAAAAGGUCUUGUUUUUCCAGGCAAAAUAAUCUUUUAAAUAUAAUUCAUUUGUUAUUAUAAAACUUAUUGGGAUUUAAUUGUCUAUCAACUUUUUUUACAUAGUUAAAUAACAUAACUUCAAUUUAAAACAAAUAAAAAAUUAAGGCUUUUACAUCUUUUUUUUUUAAAACCAAAUUACUUCAUUACCUUUAAAAUAAAAUAAAAAACUUAAAGAAGAAGUCCAUGGGUAUUUUGUUUUAAUUGUCUAUCAUGUUUUUUGAAACAUCUAGUAGCGAGGCUAAUAGAAUGACACAUGUAAUGAAAUUCUAGAUAAUAAUGGGAUUCAAUUCUCCCCUUUUUGUUCUUUCAUUUCCUUGAAAAUCGUGCUAGGUCAGUCAAAAUUCAAAGUUUUCCUAACAUUUAUCUUUAUUUUAAUUGUGAUUCUCAUUCUUUUAAUUAGUCCUCAUUUGUUUUGGAUUCUUUUUUUGAUUGAUUUUUUUUAUAAAAAAAAAAUUCAUCCCUUACCAUUUAGUUUUAUUUUAUUUUUAUAUAAAAAAUAGUCUUUAUUCUUUGGAUUUUUAUUUUUCUAUUCUUUUCUUGAUUUUAUUUUUCCAUUUUUAUCCCUCAAUGUCUUAUUUCAUUUAAUUUUUUUAUCCAAUUUUAGUUCUAUUUUUUAAUUGUUUUUUUUUUGUUUUUUUUAUUUAUUUUAUUUUUCAAUUUAACUCCUUAUUUGUUUUUUAUUGGUUUUUGUAUGAGAUUUAAUUUUUAUUAUUUUAAUUAUUGUUAUUUUUUUUAUUAAAAGUUUUAUUCGUAAGUUUUUUUUUUUCAUCUAGAACUUAUAACCAGGGUUAUUAAUUUUAAGAAUUAGCUUGAUUUAAUUUUGGUAUGUUUUAGUUUCUUUUUAUUUGUUUGUUUAAUUUUAAUAUUAGGCUAUUAAAAAGAUUUCUAGUUUUUUCUACUGUCUUUUUUAUAUCAGGUUAGUAAAAAUAACAUGAGUUGAUUAGAAUUUUUUUAAUAUUUUUUUUUUUUAUUAUUUUUUUAAUUAUAUCCUUUAAGGGUCAUGAACUUUUUAAUUUUUUAUGUUUUGGUUCAAUAAAUUUAUCCCUGGUUUCUUUUUUUAAUAUAUUAUUUUUAAUUUUAUUUUUUAAAAUUAAGCCAUUUAGCUUUAACUUUUUCGAUUUUUUUAUAUGGUUAUCCCAGGUUAAUCAAAUUAACCUAUAUUUUUUUCAAUGUUAUUUUUUAUUUGUUUAACUUCAAAUUUUUUUAGGUCAUUUUUUAAAAAAUUAUUUCAAUUUCAUUUCAGCGGGUUAGUAUAGUGAUUUUUUUUCUAGGUCAUUUUUUAAAAAAAUAUUUCAAUUUCAUUUCACAAUUUGCGUUUGAACCAAGUAGAAAGAAAAGGUAGCAUAUAACGCCACCACUACAUUCAUAUAUUUCAUACCACGUUUUGAACAAACAAUCACUAGUUUCCUAAGGAGAAAACUAAUAAAGAACUCGUUCAAACGCAACCUAAAGAGAACUAAUAAAGAACUCGUUCGAACGCAAACAUGCUCAAAAUUAGCCCACACCCCAAAGCAAAGCCCACAUUAUUUAUCAUUAUCACCUUAGCACGCAGAACAAGCCACAUUAUAUGUGUAAUCAAGCACUCUUCUUCAAGCAAUCUUGACCUCGAUAGUCUUUGGCUUCUUAGGCUCAGGAGGUGGUGAUUUCUCAACAGUAACAGUCAGUACCCCAUCUUGACAAACAGCAGAAAUAGCGUCAGUGUUAGCAUUCUCAGGCAACACAAACUUCCUCAUAAACUUACCAAUCCUCCUUUCCAUUCUCACGUACUUGGCCCCUUCUUUCUCCUCUCCGCGCUUCCUCUCUCCACUAAUAACCAGCACAUUGUCAUCCUCCACUUGAACCUUUAUGUCCCCUGAUUUCAGUCCCGGCAUGUCAAUGAUGAACGCGUAAGAGUUUGGAUACUCUUUAACAUCAGCUGGUGUCGAUGCCAUUGCCUUGGCAUCACGUACGUAAGUGCGUGUUGGCGCAUUGAAGGACUUGUCUGCCUCAUGAUCACUUGCAUCCAUCAUGUGCUGGAGGGUGUUGAAGAGUGGUGCGUCGAGACCCAUGAUUCUGAAAUCCAUCUUUUUCUUCUCGCUGGAGUUUUCGCUUGUUGAAUUUUUUAGUGUUUCUUCUCUUGCUGGUGUUUGAACUCGUCGAGGGGAGGGUGGUUAUUUAUAGGAGGGACAUUGGGGGUGGAGAAAUGGGAGUUUCUGGAGAGAUGUAGAAACUGAAGGGACUUUCCAGGGGGUUUCUGCUGGGUAUACGAGUGGGGUCUAGAAUGUUCAUAG
RNAcentral lists this long non-coding RNA (2751 nucleotides) under Populus tremula. RNAcentral describes it as "long non-coding RNA (PTRE_LNC002491)". Lineage: Eukaryota; Viridiplantae; Streptophyta; Magnoliopsida; Malpighiales; Salicaceae. The record is from RNAcentral.